UCACUUGUCUUUUAAAUGNAGACCUGUAUGAAUGGCAUAACGAGGGCUUAACUGUCUCCUUUUUCCAGUCAGUGAAAUUGAUUUCCCCGUGCAGAAGCGGGGAUAAAAACAUAAGACGAGAAGACCCUAUGGAGCUUUAGACACUAAAAUGGCCCAUGUCAAUAACCCUUAAUAAAGGACUGAACUAAAUGGAAACCACCUUGAUGUCUUUGGUUGGGGCGACCGCGGGGAACUAAAUAACCCCCAUGUGGAAUGAGAGAACUUCUCUUACAGCUCAGAGUUACAACUCUAAUAAACAGAAUUUCUGACCAAAAAGAUCCGGCAACGCCGAUCAACGGACCUAGUUACCCUAGGGAUAACAGCGCAAUCCUCUUUUAGAGUCCC
RNAcentral lists this ribosomal RNA (384 nucleotides) under Spinachia spinachia (sea stickleback). RNAcentral's name for it is "partial 16S ribosomal RNA". It matches the Rfam family "Bacterial large subunit ribosomal RNA", at positions 1965 to 2502 of the family's 2925-position model. Lineage: Eukaryota; Metazoa; Chordata; Actinopteri; Perciformes; Gasterosteidae. The record is from RNAcentral.